This 617-nucleotide ribosomal RNA is filed under the name uncultured Actinobacillus sp. RNAcentral's name for it is "bacterial SSU rRNA". It matches the Rfam family "Bacterial small subunit ribosomal RNA", at positions 99 to 712 of the family's 1533-position model. The record is from RNAcentral. Lineage: Bacteria; Pseudomonadati; Pseudomonadota; Gammaproteobacteria; Pasteurellales; Pasteurellaceae.
CGGACGGGUGAGUAAUGCUUGGGAAUCUGGCUUAUGGAGGGGGAUAACUACGGGAAACUGUAGCUAAUACCGCGUAGUAUCGGGAGAUGAAAGUGUGGGACCGCAAGGCCACAUGCCAUAAGAUGAGCCCAAGUGGGAUUAGGUAGUUGGUGGGGUAAAGGCCUACCAAGCCGACGAUCUCUAGCUGGUCUGAGAGGAUGACCAGCCACACUGGAACUGAGACACGGUCCAGACUCCUACGGGAGGCAGCAGUGGGGAAUAUUGCACAAUGGGGGGAACCCUGAUGCAGCCAUGCCGCGUGAAUGAAGAAGGCCUUCGGGUUGUAAAGUUCUUUCGGUGAUGAGGAAGGCAGUUGUUUUAAUAGAACAAUUGAUUGACGUUAGUCACAGAAGAAGCACCGGCUAACUCCGUGCCAGCAGCCGCGGUAAUACGGAGGGUGCAAGCGUUAAUCGGAAUGACUGGGCGUAAAGGGCACGCAGGCGGUGACUUAAGUGGGAUGUGAAAGCCCCGGGCUUAACCUGGGAAUUGCAUUUCAGACUGGGUCGCUAGAGUAUUUUAGGGAGGGGUAGAAUUCCACGUGUAGCGGUGAAAUGCGUAGAGAUGUGGAGGAAUACCGA